CCGGUGCUUGCACCGGGGAUUAGUGGCGAACGGGUGAGUAACACGUGAGUAACCUGCCCUUAACUCUGGGAUAAGCCUGGGAAACUGGGUCUAAUACCGGAUAUGACUCCUCAUCGCAUGGUGGGGGGUGGAAAGCUUUUGUGGUUUUGGAUGGACUCGCGGCCUAUCAGCUUGUUGGUGAGGUAAUGGCUCACCAAGGCGACGACGGGUAGCCGGCCUGAGAGGGUGACCGGCCACACUGGGACUGAGACACGGCCCAGACUCCUACGGGAGGCAGCAGUGGGGAAUAUUGCACAAUGGGCGCAAGCCUGAUGCAGCGACGCCGCGUGAGGGAUGACGGCCUUCGGGUUGUAAACCUCUUUCAGUAGGGAAGAAGCGAAAGUGACGGUACCUGCAGAAGAAGCGCCGGCUAACUACGUGCCAGC
Molecule: ribosomal RNA, 425 nt
Filed under: bacterium S8-004-16S
Lineage: Bacteria
Description: bacterial SSU rRNA
Rfam family: Bacterial small subunit ribosomal RNA
Source: RNAcentral